This 104-nucleotide ribosomal RNA is filed under the name Actinomycetota bacterium. The record is from RNAcentral. Lineage: Bacteria; Bacillati; Actinomycetota.
GCGAGAGGGAAACACCUCUUCCCAUUCCGAACAGAGAAGUUAAGCCUCUCAGCGCCGAUGGUACUGCACGGGAGACUGUGUGGGAGAGUAGGACGCCGCCGGGA